Molecule: ribosomal RNA, 253 nt
Filed under: uncultured archaeon
Lineage: Archaea
Description: partial 16S ribosomal RNA
Rfam family: Archaeal small subunit ribosomal RNA
Source: RNAcentral
AACCAGCACCUCAAGUGGUCAGGAUGAUUAUUGGGCCUAAAGCAUCCGUAGCCUGUUCUGUAAGUUUUCGGUUAAAUCUAUGCGCUCAACGUAUAGGCUGCCGAAAAUACUGCAGAACUAGGGAGUGGGAGAGGUAGACGGUACUCGGUAGGAAGGGGUAAAAUCCUUUGAUCUAUUGAUGACCACCUGUGGCGAAGGCGGUCUACCAGAACACGUUCGACGGUGAGGGAUGAAAGCGUGGGGAGCAAACAGG